This 473-nucleotide ribosomal RNA is filed under the name uncultured bacterium. RNAcentral's name for it is "bacterial SSU rRNA". It matches the Rfam family "Bacterial small subunit ribosomal RNA", at positions 328 to 793 of the family's 1533-position model. The record is from RNAcentral.
CGCGUUCACUCCUAACGGGAGGCAGCAGUGGGGAAUAUUGCACAAUGGGGGAAACCCUGAUGCAGCCAUGCCGCGUGUGUGAAGAAGGCCUCGGGUUGUAAAGCACUUUCAGUAGGGAGGAAGGUAGUGUAGUUAACACCUGCACUAUUUGACGUUACCUACAGAAGAAGCACCGGCUAACUCCGUGCCAGCAGCCGCGGUAAUACGGAGGGUGCGAGCGUUAAUCGGAAUUACUGGGCGUAAAAGCGCAUGCAGGCGGCCUGUUAAGUCAGAUGUGAAAGCCCGGGGCUUAACCUCGGAAUUGCAUUUGAAACUGGCAGGCUAGAGUCUUGUAGAGGGGGUAGAAUUUCAGGUGUAGCGGUGAAAUGCGUAGAGAUCUGAAGGAAUACCAGUGGCGAAGGCGGCCCCCUGGACAAAGACUGACGCUCAGAUGCGAAAGCGUGGGGAGCAAACAGGAUUAGAUACCCUGGUAG